Erigeron canadensis is the source of this 81-nucleotide small nucleolar RNA. NCBI's taxonomy places the organism in Eukaryota, Viridiplantae, Streptophyta, Magnoliopsida, Asterales, Asteraceae. The record is from RefSeq and is a predicted model, not a curated record.
CAUUGUGGUUCAUAUCAGCAGCAGAGGCACCUAACUGACCAGAAAAUGCUGUAGUAUAAGCCCUUCCGGUGGCGUCUGGAA